AUUAGGAAAAAUCUAAAGCCAGUUGUAGCACAAUCUUGUUAAGUUAAAAUGAGGUGUAUCUGUGUUGAGAGUUUCUCAGUAAUACAAUGAGAGCAUCAUUUGCAGAUUUAAAAAAAAAAUGCAGGUCCUGAUGAGAUUUCUUCUAAUAAUGCCCUUCUCAGAACUCAGGAAUUAACCAGUUUUUAAAAAUUUACUUACACAUCUUUAAAUUUAUUCAAUAAACAAAUAAUAGAAGUACUUGGUUCCAGGAUCCAGGCUCAGAAAACUUUAAGGAAGAAAAAGGCCAAUGUGUUUUUCUGCCCUCAAAAACCUGAUUUUCCUUUCACCUGCUGUUAGCUCUAAUUUGAUCAGUGCUCACAGAUGUCAACAACUUUCCAGUUUUCAGUGGGUUAAGGUCAGGUGGAAGGGUGGGGAAAAGUCGCAUUUAGGAAGAGAAGAAGGUGAGGCGAUUGACACUUCACUUUAACCCGUGGGGAACACUUUAACAUUUUGUGUUUUGAUGCCAGGGAUAUUGUUGAUAUAUUCCUUCAAUUACGGUGAGGGCAGCGGGAAUACAGGACACAGAAAGAUGGAGAACAAAGUCAGUGAGCUCUGCUAUAGGACCUUCCUGGAUAAUCAAGCAAUUCUGAAACAUCUGAGAUUCCUCAGCACUACUUCAUAGAUUAGCUAAGAAAUAACUACCUAAUAGUGACCUUUAAUCCAACUCAUAAGGAAAAUUACAUGCAGAAAUAAUUACCAUAGAAUGAAAAUUACUAUAGAUAAAACUGUUCAAAUUACAAAAUUGGAGUUACUGAUGCAUAGCGAUAUAGAAUCAGUCAUCACCAAAGUUAUAUCUGUUCAACUUAACUUUGGAAAAUUUGACUUGAUGGAAAAUUUAACUCGAUAGAUCUAAAAGCCACAACAGAAAACUAAUGAUAGUAAAACUGACUAGCAAAAUGCCUUAGUAAGCCUGAGCAACAAAUAACAUCUUAGGAAAUAAAUGUGGAAAAAAUGUUCAUGAAAAUACAUUAAGUAAGCAAUAUAAACAUGAAAAUACAAUUAAAAAUAGGAUACUUGUGCUGCAUAAAAAAGUGGUCAAGAAAUUUAAUUGGUUUUAUGGAGCUUAUUCCAGAAAACAUUUUCUCAAAAAAAAAAAAAAAAAAGCAUCAAUGUUAGUAUAACUCUGUUAUAAACACUUUAAUUCAUAAUUAUGGAAGUAAAAACAUUUUUGGUGUGUUAGAGCCAACAAGAUGGUCUCAACAAUUCCCACCUCCUGGUAUUUACACCCUUGUAUAUUCCCCUCUUACACUGUGCCAGGAUUAGUCUGUGUAACCAAUAGACUACGGAUUUUUUUUUUUUAAUCAAUUCUGGAGUGAAGUGAUAAAAUACAUCAUAGCUUCCAUUUUGGUCAAAUACCUUGUAUUGCUUGGAUUAGUCUCCUAUCAGGAAGUCAACUGCUAUGUCACGAUGAUGCCUAAGAAACCAUGUGGAAAGGCUCAUGUGGUGAGCAGCUGAGGCCUCCUGCCAACAGCCAUGUGAAUGAAUAAGUGGUCUUAGAAAUGGAUCCUCCACUUCCAGGCAGACUUUCAGAUGACUGCCUACUGGUCAAUGCCUUGACUGCAUCCUCAUGAGAGACCCUCAGCCAGAAUCACCCAGCUAAGCUGCUCCCAAACUCCUGACCCCCAGGAAAAUAUAUGAGAGAAUAAACAUUUGUUGCUUUAUGCCACUAAGUUUUGAAGUAAUUUGUUACAUAGUAACAGAUAAUUAAUACACUUAGGGUCACAUCAAUUGGAUGAAAAUGGCAAAAUAAAAAAUACUUUAUAUUCAUGAGACUUAGGGGAUGGCCUCAGAGUGCUGGGUCUAGAUGGAAUUGUGGAUUUUGCUAGAUGCAGAAGAGAUGGAAAGGAGGGACAACAUUCCAUAGCAUGCACAAAGUCAUCAGGAAUGAUGAUGAUUUGGUAAAUUCCCUUUCAAAAAGUAAAAGCUGCCAGACCCUUUAAUCCCUGUAGGAAGAGGUCCCCUUUCCUGUCAUUAGAGAUAUUUUUCAGAAACAAGUUCAGGAAAUACCAGGGUAGAUGUCGAGCACAGCGUUUCCAUUUUACCCAUGUUCCUUGAUGUUUCUGCUAAACUGAGCAAUGUUUGGAUCUGAGAGAGAGGGAUGCCUGCUGCAGGGAAAGGAAUAUUUUAAAGGGUUACAAAAAUAAGUAAAAACUGGUGAUGAGAGGGAAAGUACCAGACCACUAUGACUAUAAUAUUGAAACUUCACACUUUUGUUUGGCGUUUUGAAUAAAUAAAGCAUUGUAAAAGUGGGGAAAAUAAUUGAUUACAGUUAUAAAGUGGCC
Long non-coding RNA from Sapajus apella (tufted capuchin), 2321 nucleotides. RefSeq lists it as uncharacterized. The transcript is spliced from 3 exons. The record is from RefSeq and is a predicted model, not a curated record. Lineage: Eukaryota; Metazoa; Chordata; Mammalia; Primates; Cebidae.